This 155-nucleotide microRNA precursor is filed under the name Sorghum bicolor (sorghum). Its description in RNAcentral is "pre miRNA MIR2118". It matches the Rfam family "MIR2118 microRNA precursor family". Lineage: Eukaryota; Viridiplantae; Streptophyta; Magnoliopsida; Poales; Poaceae. The record is from Rfam by way of RNAcentral.
GCCAGGAAGAGGAAGAAAGAGAAUACCUAAGAGCGGUGGGAAUGGGAACAUGGAGGAAAGCAUGAAAACUAUUGGAUACAGACAUUUGUCUCAGUGUUUUCCUGAUGCCUCCCAUUCCUACAGUUCUUAGGUGCUCCUUCCUCUUCCUUUGGCCU